GGGGGUGACACGGCUUCGACAGGGGUAGAAAGCCCUAAGCUGCACGCAUGCCUGGGCAAGCAUUAAAACGGCCCACUAAAAAUAAACGCAGCAAAUAACAAAUCUUAUAGCCCAGCAGUAGCAACAGCUGCUGCAUAAUUAGGGAUUGAGGGCGCCUCCACCCACUGAGGAUUUCCGCCUCCUCGGGUGGAGAGUAAAGUGCGGAUAGGAAGUCUUAGUUGGAAGGGCUAAGACUUCCGAAACUUUACCCUUCCCUGUUAGGAUAAAGGCCUUGUUCGUUGGGCCUCCUAACAGUAUAACCAACGAACUAAGCGUGUAGACGCUUAGGGUAAUCUACUUCUGGACUGGGGUUCGAUUCCCCACACCUCCACCA
Molecule: transfer-messenger RNA, 373 nt
Filed under: Caminibacter mediatlanticus
Lineage: Bacteria; Pseudomonadati; Campylobacterota; Epsilonproteobacteria; Nautiliales; Nautiliaceae
Also listed under: 1 other name
Description: Standard tmRNA
Rfam family: transfer-messenger RNA
About the family: Bacterial tmRNA, also known as 10Sa RNA or SsrA, is named for its dual tRNA and mRNA-like properties. Its role is to liberate the mRNA from a stalled ribosome. To accomplish this part of the tmRNA is used as a reading frame that ends in a translation stop signal.
Source: RNAcentral